This 843-nucleotide ribosomal RNA is filed under the name Escherichia coli. Its description in RNAcentral is "partial 23S ribosomal RNA". It matches the Rfam family "Bacterial large subunit ribosomal RNA", at positions 2088 to 2925 of the family's 2925-position model. The record is from RNAcentral. Lineage: Bacteria; Pseudomonadati; Pseudomonadota; Gammaproteobacteria; Enterobacterales; Enterobacteriaceae.
ACCCCGUGAACCUUUACUAUAGCUUGACACUGAACAUUGAGCCUUGAUGUGUAGGAUAGGUGGGAGGCUUUGAAGUGUGGACGCCAGUCUGCAUGGAGCCGACCUUGAAAUACCACCCUUUAAUGUUUGAUGUUCUAACGUUGGCCCGUAAUCCGGGUUGCGGACAGUGUCUGGUGGGUAGUUUGACUGGGGCGGUCUCCUCCUAAAGAGUAACGGAGGAGCACGAAGGUUGGCUAAUCCUGGUCGGACAUCAGGAGGUUAGUGCAAUGGCAUAAGCCAGCUUGACUGCGAGCGUGACGGCGCGAGCAGGUGCGAAAGCAGGUCAUAGUGAUCCGGUGGUUCUGAAUGGAAGGGCCAUCGCUCAACGGAUAAAAGGUACUCCGGGGAUAACAGGCUGAUACCGCCCAAGAGUUCAUAUCGACGGCGGUGUUUGGCACCUCGAUGUCGGCUCAUCACAUCCUGGGGCUGAAGUAGGUCCCAAGGGUAUGGCUGUUCGCCAUUUAAAGUGGUACGCGAGCUGGGUUUAGAACGUCGUGAGACAGUUCGGUCCCUAUCUGCCGUGGGCGCUGGAGAACUGAGGGGGGCUGCUCCUAGUACGAGAGGACCGGAGUGGACGCAUCACUGGUGUUCGGGUUGUCAUGCCAAUGGCACUGCCCGGUAGCUAAAUGCGGAAGAGAUAAGUGCUGAAAGCAUCUAAGCACGAAACUUGCCCCGAGAUGAGUUCUCCCUGACUCCUUGAGGGUCCUGAAGGAACGUUGAAGACGACGACGUUGAUAGGCCGGGUGUGUAAGCGCAGCGAUGCGUUGAGCUAACCGGUACUAAUGAACCGUGAGGCUUAACCUU